This 484-nucleotide ribosomal RNA is filed under the name uncultured bacterium. Its description in RNAcentral is "partial 16S ribosomal RNA". It matches the Rfam family "Bacterial small subunit ribosomal RNA", at positions 28 to 507 of the family's 1533-position model. The record is from RNAcentral.
AUUGAACGCUGGCGGCAUGCUUUACACAUGCAAGUCGAACGGCAGCGCGGGCUUCGGCCUGGCGGCGAGUGGCGAACGGGUGAGUAAUGCAUCGGAACGUGCCCAGUAGUGGGGGAUAGCCCGGCGAAAGCCGGAUUAAUACCGCAUACGACCUGAGGGUGGAAGCGGGGGACCGAAAGGCCUCGCGCUAUUGGAUCGGCCGAUGUCGGAUUAGCUAGUUGGUGGGGUAAAGGCUUACCAAGGCGACGAUCCGUAGCUGGUCUGAGAGGACGACCAGCCACACUGGGACUGAGACACGGCCCAGACUCCUACGGGAGGCAGCAGUGGGGAAUUUUGGACAAUGGGGGCAACCCUGAUCCAGCCAUGCCGCGUGCGGGAAGAAGGCCUUCGGGUUGUAAACCGCUUUUGUUCGGGAAGAAAUCCUCUGGGCUAAUACCCCGGGGGGAUGACGGUACCGGAAGAAUAAGCACCGGCUAACUACGUG